UCCUUAGUUAUUGUUUGAAACUUAACCUUUUUGAAUGUGUGAUUAUAGGAAACUUUUCAGGUCACCUCAGACACAGAAGCAACUCUGGUAGUUAGUAUUACACAAGAUCUGACAGAAGCUUUGAAGACCUUUUGUAAAAAGAAAGCAGCUGUCAAUUAUGCUAGCAGCCUGAGGCCACUGAUGUCAAUAUCUCAAGAUGAGCUUUCAGCAGGAAGAAACAUCCAGAAACCAUACAAGUCUUUUGAAAAUUACAAAGGCAAUUCAGGAAAUACUAAGUGGAAUCAAGAUUUUUCAUCUCAAAGACAUGAACAGGCACAAUUUACAUCACAAUUGGAUGCAAACACUUCAUUCACCACUGCCAGUUCAUACAGUUACCAAACAAGUGAUGGAUCAUCCUCAUAUGGACUAAGACCUAAUGAUUCUGCAACAAUGGCUGCACUCAGUAAUUCAUUUGCCCUUCAGACGGGAGGCUUUGCUACUGGAAUCAAUGAAUGGCUGAAGCAAUUCAAUCAAUCUGCUUCUGUAUCCUCCCAGUCCACUUCAGUUGGAAGCACCGCUCCCUACUUCAGAUAUUCAGGGAGUGGGUAUUCAACAGAAUACAAGUCUAAUAGUGCCCAAGGAAACAAAACUACAGCACCUGAUAACAGAAUGGCUUAUGGUGGUGGAGGUACAAAUUGGAAGAGUCAGAGAGCAUUUACAAAUACAAGGAAUUUACCUGACCAGAGAUCAUCCUAUUCUGCUUCCUCUGCUACAUAUCCUUCAUCUGGAGGAUAUUCAACAAACUAUCCUUUACAAGGCUGUUCAUCUUACUACAGGGGUGGGUCUUCAAAUUCCACUUCUUCAUCAAGAGGUGGUUCUAGUUGGUCAGAAGAAUCGAGAUAUCAGAAAUCAGAUUUCAAGACUGAUUCGGCCUCAUUUCAUUCCUCCUCUUCUGUCCACAAUUCAUACAGAGAUUACCAACAACAAAACAGAGAGUCAGAUAAGAUGUUUGAUGAAGAUGCCAGUGGUCUUACUCCCAACAUUCUGCAUAGACUUCAAGGAAAGGAUGUACCUACAAUGACCAGAAUGCUCCAGCAGCUGACUCCAUAUUAUCCAGCACUUCAAAAAAUCAAUAUUGAAACAUUAGUCAAAGCAUUAAUUGAAACUAGAGAAAUAAAUUAAGAUGAUAAAACAGCUGAAUUGGAACUGAUGAACAGAACACUGAAGAAUCUUCACUUCAAGUUUUUAGGAAACAAACUCAACAAUUUAAUUUUGGAUGUGGUUUCUUUUGUUUUGUUUUUGUUUUUUGUGGAAGGGGAUAGGGUUUAUGUUUUUAGUACAGUAAAAAUAUAGUUGGAGCACAAAUUAUUUUCAUGGAGAUGAAUAUGCUGUUCACGUAUUUUUAUGCAUUUGUUAAAUAUUUUUAGUAGAUUGCACUGGAAACUCUUGGUUUUUGAGGGGCUGGUUAAUAUUAAUCACCUUUUUCCAAAAAAGUUUUUGUAUGUUGUAAUCCAUUUAGGAAGAAUAUUCACUGAAAAUAGUUCCAUUGCAUGAAAAAUACAGAAAUGCAUUGCUUCACAUAUAAACCAAUGGCCAGUUCUUCUAAUUUUAGACUUUAUAAUGAGUUAGGAUACUUUUUAGAAGUGACUAUACUGAAUUUCUUUUUGGAACACAUUAAAAUGAUGGUCCCUAAACAAAAUGUUUCUCCUCCUGUGGACUCAAAAUGUGCUCUUAAAUAAGAAAAUGCGAACACUUGUUAGUGGAAAAACUUAACCAAUUUUAUUUUUAAAUUGUAAAAAUGCACACAAAUAUGGAAAUACAACCAGAAUUCUAUUGUAUAGAAUAGCAUUCUGCAUUUUCAAUGUUUAUUUGUAAAAUAAUAAUUAUUAUUAUUAAUAAUAAUAAUUGGGGCAUUUUGCAGUGUUGAUUUUCCAAACAGUAAAACCAGGAUGAAAUUGGGU
Molecule: long non-coding RNA, 1940 nt
Organism: Chelonoidis abingdonii (Abingdon island giant tortoise)
Lineage: Eukaryota; Metazoa; Chordata; Testudines; Testudinidae
Source: Ensembl